RNAcentral lists this ribosomal RNA (164 nucleotides) under Tetrapogon spathaceus. RNAcentral describes it as "5.8S ribosomal RNA". It matches the Rfam family "5.8S ribosomal RNA". Rfam says of the family: 5.8S ribosomal RNA (5.8S rRNA) is a component of the large subunit of the eukaryotic ribosome. It is transcribed by RNA polymerase I as part of the 45S precursor that also contains 18S and 28S rRNA. Functionally, it is thought that 5.8S rRNA may be involved in ribosome translocation. Lineage: Eukaryota; Viridiplantae; Streptophyta; Magnoliopsida; Poales; Poaceae. The record is from RNAcentral. RNAcentral also lists the same sequence under 1 other name.
CACAUGACUCUCGGCAACGGAUAUCUCGGCUCUUGCAUCGAUGAAGAACGUAGCAAAAUGCGAUACCUGGUGUGAAUUGCAGAAUCCCGUGAACCAUCGAGUUUUUGAACGCAAGUUGCGCCCGAGGCCUUCUGGCCGAGGGCACGUCUGCCUGGGCGUCACGC